AGCAGCCGCGGUAAUUCCAGCUCCAAUAGCGUAUAUUAAAGUUGUUGCAGUUAAAAAGCUCGUAGUUGAAUUUCGGGAUCAAAGGAUCGGUCAUGCCUUGGUAUGUACUGGUUUAUUGGUUCUCACCUUCUAAAGAACCAUAAUGUCAUUCAUUUGAUGUUAUGGGGAAUUAGGACUGUUACCCUGAAAAAAUUAGAGUGUUUAAAGCAGGCUUACGCUUGAAUACAUUAGCAUGGAAUAAUGAAAUAGGACAUCAGAUUCUAUUUUGUUGGUUUCUAGGAUCGGAUGUAAUGAUUAAUAGGGAUAGUUGGGGGCAUUAGUAUUCAAUUGUCAGAGGUGAAAUUCUUGGAUUUAUUGAAGACUAACUACUGCGAAAGCAUUUGCCAAGGAUGUUUUCAUUAAUCAAGAACGAAGUUAGGGAUCGAAGACGAUCAGAUACCGUCGUAGUCUUAACCAUAAACUAUGCCGACUAGGGAUCGGGAUGAUGUUAAUUUUANAAUGACUCAUUC
This 509-nucleotide ribosomal RNA is filed under the name uncultured Glomus. RNAcentral's name for it is "SSU rRNA". It matches the Rfam family "Eukaryotic small subunit ribosomal RNA", at positions 569 to 1081 of the family's 1831-position model. Lineage: Eukaryota; Fungi; Glomeromycota; Glomeromycetes; Glomerales; Glomeraceae. The record is from RNAcentral.